RNAcentral lists this microRNA precursor (101 nucleotides) under Manduca sexta (tobacco hornworm). RNAcentral describes it as "microRNA mse-mir-100 precursor". Its record names the gene mse-mir-100. The record is from miRBase by way of RNAcentral. Lineage: Eukaryota; Metazoa; Arthropoda; Insecta; Lepidoptera; Sphingidae.
UGUCGCCAACUCGCGUCUCCCAGAGUUUGUGUUCACCAGCACCCGGCCCCUUUAACUGGAACCCGUAGAUCCGAACUUGUGCGCGUUAUGUCGUUGGGCGC